RNAcentral lists this ribosomal RNA (480 nucleotides) under uncultured bacterium. RNAcentral describes it as "bacterial SSU rRNA". It matches the Rfam family "Bacterial small subunit ribosomal RNA", at positions 30 to 507 of the family's 1533-position model. The record is from RNAcentral.
AUUGAACGCUGGCGGAAUGCUUUACACAUGCAAGUCGAACGGUAGAGGGGGCAACCCCUCGAGAGUGGCGAACGGGUGAGUAAUAUAUCGGAACGUGCCCAGUCGUGGGGGAUAACGUAGCGAAAGUUACGCUAAUACCGCAUACGAUCUAUGGAUGAAAGCGGGGGACCGAAAGGCCUCGCGCGAUUGGAGCGGCCGAUAUCAGAUUAGGUAGUUGGUGGGGUAAAGGCUCACCAAGCCAACGAUCUGUAGCUGGUCUGAGAGGACGACCAGCCACACUGGAACUGAGACACGGUCCAGACUCCUACGGGAGGCAGCAGUGGGGAAUUUUGGACAAUGGACGCAAGUCUGAUCCAGCCAUUCCGCGUGCAGGAUGAAGGCCCUCGGGUUGUAAACUGCUUUGUACGGAACGAAAAGGUCUCUCUUAAUACGGGGGGCUCAUGACGGUACCGUAAGAAUAAGCACCGGCUAAACUACGUG